Molecule: non-coding RNA, 2438 nt
Organism: Tetranychus urticae (two-spotted spider mite)
Lineage: Eukaryota; Metazoa; Arthropoda; Arachnida; Trombidiformes; Tetranychidae
Source: RefSeq, a predicted model, not a curated record
UUUUUGUGUUUAUUUAAUCACUUCAUCAUAUUAAACCAAAGGAUUGAAUUGAAAAGCGUGUUGAAUAGUAAUUAAAUUAAAUUGUACGUUUCAGGUAUCAACAAAAGUGAGAUAAUUAUUGUUAUGGUGAACAAAACAACUGGCAACAGCAAGCGAAAAUGUGGUUUACAAAGACACUUUGUAAUAUUAAUUUUGGUUAGAAAUUCAGUUAAUUGAAUCCUUUGAGCGGUUCCAUUUUGAUUAGUGAUUAUUCAAGUCAACCCUCAAUUGUAUUACAACUGAAAGAUUAAUUGAGUCAAUCAAACGGUGAUGCAAAGAGCAAGAAUAAAAAAUCGUGAAACCAAAAGGUAAAAUUGAAUAGCAAACUGAAAGCGUGAUCAACUUUAAUAAAUUGUUUAAUAAGAUGAACAUCUUAUAUUUAAUAGUCAACCAUCACAGUUAUCAAAAGGAAGAAGAUGAGGAAGAAACAGAAUAAUAACAAUAAUUUAAUUAGCAUCAUUUUUUAAUCUGGUUUAUCAAAUUAACUGUAAAGUAGUCAGGUUGAAAAAUUUAACAACAUAAUUUACUCUUUGGUAGCCAGUAAUUGAUAGCGCCAUCUCUACGGCUAAACUAUCUUCCAGCAGCAUGGAAGCUUUGUUAUUUAUAAUUUGUUGUGCAUGUUCAUCUUUAUUAAAAUAUUAUAAUGUUCAAAUUAAUAGAUUAAUGGGUUAAAAUUUACUUUAUUCAGUGUUUAUUACAGUUGAUAAAUAUUUGUAUUGUUUACUGUUUCUGAAGAGCUAUUAGCUAUUGCCUGGAUUGACCAAUUCAAAAACUGGGUUUGUUUACCUCUAUUGAUGUGUUAUCGGCCCAUUGAGCUUGGCUCAGUGACUCUUGAUGCCUAUUGAUUAUUGAAUGAGUAUCAAUCAUUUUGGCAAUUUAUUGUAUCUUCACUUGAUAUUUUCAUCAACAUAAUCAACAACCAAUUGAAUACUUAACUUCCUAAUCAUCACAUUAACUGGACCAGCAAAUAUUAAAAGCAAAAUUUUCCGUACGAUUCAAUACAGAUUGAAUUGGGAUUUUUCAAGGUUUAUUUGACUAACCUGAACUUAAUGAAUAGCUGAUGAAAUAUGUUCCAAGGAGCAAAUAAUUGAUGAUGGUUAACAAAUGGAUAGCAACUGUAUCAUUAAUGGGUUAAAUAUUAAUACAUUUAAUAAAUGGAUUCAAUCCUUUCAAAUAUUUGCACAACAAUAACCAAAUAUUAGUUAUCAAUUGAUACCUACAGCCUAUUGUAUUAUUUCAAUCUACGUCAACUUACAGAACCAAAAACCAUGGAUCGUAUUUUAAUAUCAGCCAAUGAGUUCAAUUGAAAAAUCAAAAGUUUCAAGUUCUUCCUCACUAACCAGUUGACAACAAGACAAUUAACCUUGUGAUUUAAUCUGCUCAAACAAAUGGAAAUGAUUGAAAUGUUUACAUGAGAUUUAAUCAGAGUAUCAUUGACUUGCAAAGACAAACCAAAGAUCAAAUUUCAUUCAAUCCAUCACUGGCUAAACACACUAAUCAAUUGUAAACCAACAAAAAGUGCAAUUUCAACACGUACAUUAAGCCCAUAAUGACCAAGCAAUAAUGAGUAGCAGUGAAAAUUAUUGUGAAUCACGAUGAACUCAACUAAAGGUAACCUUAACAGGUUACUAAAAUGACAAUAACUGUAUGAGCUAAAAAUCACAAGUAAUUUUGUUUACUUGCAGUAAAUUAGAUUUUUUUAUUUAGCUAAACACAUCAUGGUCAACCUGCUGAACAAAAUGACCUGUCAUGAUUUGAUUUUGAUUACAAAUUAGGUGCAUAAUCUACAGGCUCAUAUCUCAAUUCGUGAUUAUCAUGUUUCAGGUCAUAUUGCAAGAAAAUAAAUAAGUUAAAAUCAGCUGCCAAUUGAUAACAACUCGAAAGGAAACAUGAAUAUGAGUAAGCAUAAUGUUUCCGGGUUUGAUUUUAUGCUGGUGACUUUCGGUCUUUGGUCCAUGAAAAGCUAAGAAAAAACCUUAAGAUUUCAAUUAUUUCCCUGUGUUUUGCCAUUUUCAUCACCAAAAUUGAAUACAACUUUCAUCAGUGUUUGGAUUCUGCCUUGUAAUGUUUCUGUUUGCAGCAAAAUUAGGAUUAACCAGAAUUUCACACCAAAGAAAGUCAACUCGCUUCAGGCAAUCGUAUUACAACCUUUGAGCAUCUUUAUUUUUUCUAGUUUCACGAAAGGAACAAUUUGUGAAUAUUUCAUCAAAAUUUCAAAGGAUAACAUUUUAGUUUCUGAAUGAAGGAUAAAAGGUUGUCCAAUUUAAAUGAAAAACCAAAUUGGAAAGAAACAUUUGAAAUACAAAACAUCUAAUUGAGUUAACAGAAGAGCUGUUUUACCUGUGGAAAUGUUGAAUAUUUUAUAUUUCAAAAACAUUACAGAAACAAUAAUCUAAAAA